UCCAUCUCACUUUACCUUCUAGAUCAACUUCUCUACCAGAUGCUGUCUGUUCAGUAUAUAUCCGCACUGUGUUUUCUUCUCUUAAGCUUUUUGUCUCUGUUAAAUGGAAAAAGGAAAAUACAUUCUUUUAAAAAGUGAAAUUGAGCUACAGGGCCAUACAAAACCAAGUGCUGAUGUUAAGAGGCUUCAUGAAACAAAUUUGAUUGCUUUCUUGAAAAUAUGUUUGUUGUAUUUUUCAUGUGUUAGCAUUUCACUGAGAGAUCAAAAUGCAAUGUAUAACUUCCAUUUUCUGUUCUUCCUGUAAUUCAACUGAAAUUAACUGUAAAAGAAUCAUUACAAAAUUAAAUUAAUUGUGUUAUAUAAUGUCAAUCUAUUGUUUUUUCUUUGUUUUAUUUUCAUACUAUAUUGAUAAUAUGAUUCAUCAUUAAAUACAGUUUGUGUUUCCGGUUUCACUUAGCCUUCUUGAUGAACUUCCUCACCAGUCUGUUCAGUAGAUAUCUGCCCUGGACCUAAAACAUCAGUUAAGUAUAGAUAUACUGCAAUUUUCUGUAAUACAUAUUACAUUUUAAUUACGUUUGAUUUUCAAAGUAAAGAUUUCAAAAUGCCUUAUUGUUAUUAUUUGAUAUAUGUAUCACACACAUUAGGUUAAUAACAAUACAUCUAUCUGAUAAUCUUGUAAGGAUAAGAAUAUGUUUUCCAUUUACUAUAUUACCCUCAAGAUCAACUUUACUGUCAGGUGUCAUCUGAAUGACAGGUGUCUUCACAGUGUCUUCUGGUCCUAAAAGAUGGCAAUAAUGUCAUUAUUUAGCAAUUUGACUGUCAGGAAUAUAUGUUUAUUUUACUGAAAAAUUAUAAUCAAAUGAAAGCUUUAUAUGUAAUUAUAUUCAACAUUGCUAUGCUGUGCAUGUAUUAAACAUUAGUUUAAAUACUGUAAUUUACCUGUAAAUUAUAAUCUUUCAAAUAAAAUUACAAACCCGUUUGCAAAAAAGUUGUGACGCUGCAAAAAAUGCAAAUAGAAAUAGAAUGCCUAAAUGUGGAAUUCAUUGCAUCCUUAUAUUUCAUUGAAAAUAGUACAAAGAAAGAAAGAAAAGUUCUUGUUUUUGAAAAAAGAUAUGCCCAUUUUGAAUAUGCCAGCAACAUAUU
Molecule: long non-coding RNA, 1143 nt
Organism: Esox lucius (northern pike)
Lineage: Eukaryota; Metazoa; Chordata; Actinopteri; Esociformes; Esocidae
Source: Ensembl